This is a small nuclear RNA of Populus nigra (black poplar), 161 nucleotides long. RefSeq annotates it as U1 spliceosomal RNA. The transcript has a single exon. NCBI's taxonomy places the organism in Eukaryota, Viridiplantae, Streptophyta, Magnoliopsida, Malpighiales, Salicaceae. The record is from RefSeq and is a predicted model, not a curated record.
AUACUUACCUGGACGGGGUCAAUGGGCAUUCAAGAAGGUCCAUGGCCUAGGUCAGUGACGUCCAUUGCACUUGGAAUGGGUGCUGGCUUAAGGUCUCCCCAUGUUGGGAGAGCCUACAUCAUAAUUUGUGAUAGAGGGGGCUGCGCAAGUCGCGGCCCCUG